GCGCCGGUACCUAAGCGGUCAAAGGGGACGCGCUGUAGACGCGUUGACUCCGGUCUUCGCAGGUUCGAAUCCUGCCCGGCGCACCA
Molecule: transfer RNA, 86 nt
Filed under: Omnitrophica WOR_2 bacterium RIFCSPHIGHO2_02_FULL_48_11
Lineage: Bacteria; Pseudomonadati; Candidatus Omnitrophota
Description: tRNA-Tyr
Rfam family: tRNA
About the family: Transfer RNA (tRNA) molecules are approximately 80 nucleotides in length. Their secondary structure includes four short double-helical elements and three loops (D, anti-codon, and T loops).
Source: RNAcentral